This 45-nucleotide non-coding RNA is filed under the name Trichobilharzia regenti. The record is from RNAcentral. Lineage: Eukaryota; Metazoa; Platyhelminthes; Trematoda; Strigeidida; Schistosomatidae.
ACCCAUCUGAGGGGUCCCAAAUAGGACGAAAUGCGCAUCCUGGUU